AACGAACGCUGGCGGCAUGCCUAACACAUGCAAGUCGAACGAGACCUUCGGGUCUAGUGGCGCACGAGUUCGUAACGCGUGGGAACCUGCCCUUAGGUUCGGCAUAACUCCCCGAAAGGGAUGCUAAUACCGGAUAAUGUCUUCGGCCCAAAGAUUUAUCGCGUUUGGAUGGUCCCACGUUGGAUUCGCUAGUUGGUAGGGUAAAAGCCUACCAAGGCGACGAUCCCUAGCUGGUCUGAGAGGAUGAUCAGCCACACUGGGACUGAGACACGGCCCAGACUCCUACGGGAGGCAGCAGUGGGGAAUAUUGGACAAUGGGCGAAAGCCUGAUGCAGCAAGGCCGCGUGAGUGAUGAAGGCCUUAGGGUUGUAAAGCUCUUUUACCCGGGAUGAUAAUGACAGUACCGGGAGAAUAAGCUCCGGCUAACUCCGUG
RNAcentral lists this ribosomal RNA (433 nucleotides) under uncultured bacterium. RNAcentral describes it as "partial 16S ribosomal RNA". It matches the Rfam family "Bacterial small subunit ribosomal RNA", at positions 29 to 507 of the family's 1533-position model. The record is from RNAcentral.